CCUAUAGUGUCCCUUUAAAUAUUGUCAACAAUGGAAGUAGGACCUGAGGUGACUUUAGAUAGGGAAUAUUAUCAAGAUAUUUGGGAUGCUGCGAAUGGUCUGUCCAUCUGCAUCCUGCACCAGGAACAAAUUCACAAAAUCGUGAAGUGCUGGCACACCAACCCAGUCAAGUUCUUCCAUAUGUGAAAAUCAAACGCAAACCUAUGCUGGAGGCAUCCAGUGAUAAAGGCACAUACUUCCAUAUGUGGUGGUCUUGUAGCAUCAUUCUGGAGCAUUAUCCAGAAUCUUCUUUCCCUAGUAUUUCACAGGCAUUUUCAGUUGGAUCUAUGGUUCUUUUUAUUAUCUAAACCGAUGGAUGGGUUCACUACACACCUGCAGAAACUAUAUAAUAAGAUCAUGCUGGCAGUACGUAAGGCUGUGGACUUAAGUUGGUUACAGACAGAAUUUCCCUCAAUGCAGUAAGUUAUCAUUAAAAUUAAC
This is a non-coding RNA of Pelobates cultripes (western spadefoot toad), 480 nucleotides long. The record is from the annotation of a GenBank genome assembly. NCBI's taxonomy places the organism in Eukaryota, Metazoa, Chordata, Amphibia, Anura, Pelobatidae.